GCGGAUGUGUUGAGACUGCACGAGAAUGACUUUAUUUUGGUCUGUAAUGAGCUUGCUCUCUUUUCUAAAACUUAUCUCUGGGCGGUGAACAGAAGACCGCGCGCUCCCGUUAAGCCCUUCGUGCCCCGGGGAAGCCAUGCUUGAAAUCUGAAUGGGACGUCACAAAAGAGAAACAGCAGGCAGUAUAAACCCAGGUGGACAACUCUGAGGACGUUUGGCAGCACAAUAUGAAGAUUGCUGUUGUUUGUGCUUCCUACGCUGAAGAUCCUGUAGAUGUCUCUCUUAUUCUUGACGGCAAGGAGGUUGUGACUGGAUGUGGAAAUACUGCAAAGCCAUGUACACUGCUAAUGGGUCUGAUAUAUUCCCUCAAUCUUGCUUAUCCUCCAACACCGUGUUACACUUUUGAAGUGUUCCAGAAGCUUUUCUUAGAUUUAGACGCAAUAAAGCUAUCCCCCAAAGUACAAACUCUGAAAAUGAAGUUGCUGUCCAAAACUUAAAAGAUGACAUUUUAUUCAGCUUUAUUCAGCUUGGUAUGCCAUUGCCAUUAUAGCAGUUUAUGCUAUAAAGUUGUAUUGUUAUUGUGUAGCUCUUGCACAUGCUUCAAAGUCAUUAAUUGUUCAUUAAUGUUAAUACAGUUGCAAAACCUCUGCAGCCAUUUCUCAGAGCUGUGCCUUCAGAAAGGACUUUAAGUUUAUAAUAGUAUGACAACAAGAAUUGCUGAUUUGUUGUUAAUUUUUUUUUUCCAAGUGUAAAACCUGGACAAAAAAGGCUGUCAAUAAUACAAAGUUGUUAAAUAUUGUCAUUUGUAUGUUAUUGAUUUUUCAUAUUUUCUGUAUACACUUUAACAAAACUAGUAGUUAUUACUCAAAUGUAGUGCUUAAAAAUUAUUUUGUAAUAAGAAUAAAUAUAGUGAUACAACGAAUAAAAUAUAAAUAACAUUUAUUAAAUUAAUUCAUUAUUGUCAGUGAUCAGCACACAUAAAAUUUACUCAGUAUUUCUAUGACACACGUAGAAAUACUAAAAAAAAUCACAUAAACCUUAAUUCAUUAUUUCAUAUAACC
This is a long non-coding RNA of Amphiprion ocellaris (clown anemonefish), 1061 nucleotides long. The record is from Ensembl. Lineage: Eukaryota; Metazoa; Chordata; Actinopteri; Pomacentridae.